UACGGAGGGGGCGAGCGUUAUUCGGAAUUAUUGGGCGUAAAGGGCGCGUAGGCGGCUUUGCAAGUCAAAGGUGAAAUCCCUCGGCUCAACUGAGGAACUGCCUUUGAAACUGUGAGGCUUGAGUCCGGGAGGGGGUAGCGGAAUUCCCAGUGUAGCGUUGAAAUGCGUAGAUAUUGGGAGGAACACCAGUGGCGAAGGCGGCUACCUGGACCGGAACUGACGCUGAUGCGCGAAAGCGUGGGUAGCAAACAGG
This 253-nucleotide ribosomal RNA is filed under the name uncultured bacterium. RNAcentral's name for it is "partial 16S ribosomal RNA". It matches the Rfam family "Bacterial small subunit ribosomal RNA", at positions 524 to 776 of the family's 1533-position model. The record is from RNAcentral.